GAUGAACGCUAGCUACAGGCUUAACACAUGCAAGUCGAGGGGAAACGAUAGAGAAAGCUUGCUUUUUCUAGGCGUCGACCGGCGCACGGGUGAGUAACGCGUAUCCAACCUGCCCAUCACUUGGGGAUAACCUUGCGAAAGUAAGACUAAUACCCAAUGAUAUCUCUAGAAGACAUCUGAAGGAGAUUAAAGAUUUAUCGGUCAAGGAUGGGGAUGCGUCUGAUUAGCUUGUUGGCGGGGUAACGGCCCACCAAGGCGACGAUCAGUAGGGGUUCUGAGAGGAAGGUCCCCCACAUUGGAACUGAGACACGGUCCAAACUCCUACGGGAGGCAGCAGUGAGGAAUAUUGGUCAAUGGACGAGAGUCUGAACCAGCCAAGUAGCGUGCAGGAUGACGGCCCUAUGGGUUGUAAACUGCUUUUAUAAGGGAAUAAAGUGAGUCUCGUGAGACUUUUUGCAUGUACCUUAUGAAUAAGGACCGGCUAAUUCCGUGCCAGCCGCCGCGGUAA
This 508-nucleotide ribosomal RNA is filed under the name uncultured bacterium. RNAcentral's name for it is "partial 16S ribosomal RNA". It matches the Rfam family "Bacterial small subunit ribosomal RNA", at positions 28 to 523 of the family's 1533-position model. The record is from RNAcentral.